Non-coding RNA from Chloroflexi bacterium GWB2_49_20, 99 nucleotides. NCBI's taxonomy places the organism in Bacteria, Bacillati, Chloroflexota. The record is from Rfam.
UAGCCGAUUCACAAAUACCUGAUGUUCGGGCGGGUUUGGAGAAGACGCUUACAACACUUUUUGCAGCGAUGUGCGGUGUAGAGAUGAUCCAUGAUGGCG